GAUGAACGCUAGCUACAGGCUUAACACAUGCAAGUCGAGGGGAAACGCCAUCGAAAGCUUGUUUUUGAUGGGCGUCGACCGGCGCACGGGUGAGUAACGCGUAUCCAACCUGCCCAUCACUUGGGAAUAACCUUGCGAAAGUAAGACUAAUACCCAAUGAUAUCCCACGAAGGCAUCGGAAUGGGAUUAAAGAUUUAUCGGUGAUGGAUGGGGAUGCGUCUGAUUAGCUUGUUGGCGGGGUAACGGCCCACCAAGGCAACGAUCAGUAGGGGUUCUGAGAGGAAGGUCCCCCACAUUGGAACUGAGACACGGUCCAAACUCCUACGGGAGGCAGCAGUGAGGAAGAUUGGUCAAUGGGCGAGAGCCUGAACCAGCCAAGUAGCGUGCAGGAAGACGGCCCUAUGGGUUGUAAACUGCUUUUAUAAGGGAAUAAAGUGGGUCACGUGUGACUUUUUGCAUGUACCUUAUGAAUAAGGACCGGCUAAUUCCGUG
RNAcentral lists this ribosomal RNA (492 nucleotides) under uncultured bacterium. RNAcentral's name for it is "partial 16S ribosomal RNA". It matches the Rfam family "Bacterial small subunit ribosomal RNA", at positions 28 to 507 of the family's 1533-position model. The record is from RNAcentral.